This is a long non-coding RNA of Oncorhynchus gorbuscha (pink salmon), 842 nucleotides long. RefSeq lists it as uncharacterized. NCBI's taxonomy places the organism in Eukaryota, Metazoa, Chordata, Actinopteri, Salmoniformes, Salmonidae. The transcript has 3 exons. The record is from RefSeq and is a predicted model, not a curated record.
UCCCCUCCAGGUGGUCUACCCUAUGAGUUUAAGGUGGUGAUAGCAGGGAACCAUGAGCUGACCUUCGAUAAGGACUUUAUGGCUGAGCUGGUGAAGCAGGAUUACUACCGUUUUCCCUCCGUGUCCAAACUGAAGCCCGAGGACUUCGAUGACGUCCAGGACCUCCUCACUAACUGUGUGUACCUCCAGGACUCUGACGUCACCGUCAAAGGCUUCCGGAUAUAUGGGACGCCAUGAGGUGGAUUCAUUCAUAACAUCAUCUAUCAAUGAAUCCAGGCUGCAUCACAUCCGGACGGGAUUGGGAGUCCCAGCGCCGUCCGGGUUUGGCCGGUGUAGGCCGUCAUUGUCAAUAAGAAUUUGUCUUUAACUGACUUGCCUAGUUAAAUAAAGGUUACAUAUCUAUAUUUAUUUAUGUAAUUGUCUAGUUGUAAACGGUAAGCCUCCAACAGACUUUAUAUGACUUGUCUUGGUCCCGUGUUUUAACACACUGUUCCACCACUACAACUCCUCUAGAUCCCUUUGGAAGGGCAGCUUACACCAGGUUAUCUUCCCUCAUUCUCCUCUGUCCCCUCCCUAUAGAGUUUACACCAGGUUAUCUUCUCUCAUUCUCCUCUGUCCCCUCCCUAUAGAGUUUACACCAGGUUAUCUUCUCUCAUUCUCCUCUGUCCCCUCCCUAUAGAGUUUACACCAGGUUAUCUUCUCUCAUUCUCCUCUGUCCCCUCCCUAUAGAGUUUACACCAGGUUAUCUUCUCUCAUUCUCCUCUGUCCUCUCCCUAUAGAGUUUAAACCAGGUUAUCUUCUCUCAUUCUCCUCUGUCCUCUCCCUAUAGAGUUUACACCAGG